CUAAUGAGUGGUGCCAUGUCCGCACCCAGAAUCCGAACCCUGGGCCACUGAAGCGGAACGCGUGAAGUUAACCACUCGGCCACGGGGCCGGCCUGUUAGGCCUGUUUUUAUACAACCCAGAACAAAAAAUGGUUUGCAAGGAUUGCAAGAGAAGGAGGAGAAGAGGAGAGGAAUAUGCAACAGGGACUUCCCUCUGCAGUCUUCCCGGUUCUUCCCAGUAAGCUUGUCCACUCUCAAGCCUUCUUAGAACCAUUUAUAUGCUGAUGACCCCGAAGCCUGCAUCUCCAGGUCAGCUUUCUCCGUCCAGAGCGGCGAAAUUAACCCCCUGCCAUCCACGUUGACGACCCACAGGCACCUAAAAUAGAAUGUUUCCAAAAGUGAACUCCUGGUCACAACCCACCUCUUCUUUUUGUGUUCCCUUCUCAAGAAAAGCAUCCUUACCGAGUCAGAGCUCUGUGAGUCCUCUCUUCCUGCCCCCACAUCUGAACCAUCUCCCACCCAUCGAUCCUACCCUCUAAAUACCUUUUGAAACUGUCCACAUGGCCUUCCUGCCUUGCCAGGCUCAGGCCCCCUCAACUCACACCUGGAUAUAACCUGGAGAUAACAGACUGAUGCUGGCCAGUCUGGAGGGAUCUUCCUAAACGUCACCGCCACCCUGCCUGUCCACCACCCUUAGGAUAAAGUUCAAAGUCCUCUGGGCAGCAUAGGAGUCCCCACAUGCUCAAGCCCCUGGUCCCUCUCCAGGCUCAGCUCUCAUGCUCUUUUCCUUGAGCUGGAUGCUCAGCUAUCCCGAAAUAUAGCGAAAUCUUCAGUUUGCUAAAUGUGUGUGGCUCCUCUUCAACCUCGGGCCUUUGCCUCUGGCAUUUCCUCUUCUUGAACAUUCCAUACCCAACUGAGUAACUCCCACUCGACCUACAGGACUCUAUAGGGCCACUGGCUUCUGUGGAGCCACUUCAGUAACUUGCCGGGAGCCCAUCCGUUGGCCCUCACCCACCCGUGUGGUCCAACAAGUUAAACAUUCUUUAACAAAAUAGAAAAAGAAGUCAAUUUAUGGGACACAUGAAUAAGAAGAAAAUGAAAACCGCCCCCUUAUCUCUCAGGCCCCAUUUCCCCACGCCUGGCCCUGAGCAGAAGGUUUUAACGGAUCCAACCAUGUUUUUCCUUCAGGGUGGGUGUGGCUUCCAUUGGACGACAGUUCCACUUAGCUACCCGCCCCCGACCCUGGGGGAGAGCUCGAGAAAUGGGUUUGGGUCUUAAAAAGCCAUCUUAAGCAGAUGGCAGUAAAUUCAACCCCAUGGCCCCAUAUACAACCCUGGCUAACCCUCCCCCACCCCUGACAAUCUCCUUCUGUUAGAACCUGACACUCUCUCGCUGGUGUUCUCUCCAAGCCAGGGUCUUAACCACUGUGUCAUCAUUUCUCACUCCUGUCCCCAAAGGAGACACCAGUGCACAGUGAUUAUAUCUCAGGCUCUGGACUCAGACAGACACAGGGUCAAGUUUCAGCUCUGCCACUUACUAUAUGACCUUGAGCAAGCUGCAUAAGGUGAGUGCCAAAUGGCCUUAUUGAGAGACAUAAAUGAGAUAACGGGUGUGCCGCACUUAGCACAGAAUCCGGUACAUGGGAAGCAAACGCCAGCCAUUAUUAUCACCGUGAACUUCUUAAGUUUUUAUUUGAAAAAUUAUCACUACGGUAAAAUUGACCUUUUUGGUGUACAAUUCUUUGAAUCUUAGCGCAUGUAUAGAUGCAUGUAACUGUCACCAUAAUCAGAAUACACAACAGUUCCAUUAUCCCCCCAAAACUCCCCCCUGCUGUCCCUUUCUCUUUCUCCACUCAUAACCCCUGACAACCAUGACUCUCUUCUCCUUCCCUGGAGUUUUAUCCUCAAAAAUAUCGUCUGAAUGAAAUCUUACAGUAUAGGACGUUUUGAGACUGGUUUCCUUCACUCGGCGUGAUGCCUCUGCGAUUCUUCAAGUUGUUGCUUGUAUCAAUCUCUGCUUCCUUUUUAUUGCCCAGGAAUGUGCACAUGCUGAAAACUGCUUUCCUUUUUUUCAUCCCAACCAACAUUCCAACUCAGAUAAACACGAACAGACUUUACAAGGUCUUGGCCUAGAAGUCACUCUCCCUGGGGAAGCUGGUGGCCCCCACAUUUCAUCAGGCACUCUUCCUAUCCACCCCUGAUAAGCUCUCUUGAAAAGAAAGGUUCUGAGUCCAAUUGUAUGGUUUGAAGGAGAGAAAAACCUUUGGUCCCCUGAGUGGUAGCAAAUGGAAGACACCAAAGUGCUGACAGAUGGUGUCUGGGCAACAUCACUCUGAGCCUGGAUCCCCCUGUGCUCCAUCCACGACCUACAAUUGGCAGCCAGCUGGCCAGGCAGAGUCGGGCAGCCAGUUCUUCCAUUCCAGCCACGUACGAAUCAUGGGGCAGAAGAGGCCGGCGCUCAUGGGUGGGAAGAAGAAUUUCAGAGAGUGAGGGGGCAUUGAGCAGGAGAGAGAAGGCAUUUGUGGCCCUGAAUAACUUCUUUCUUUGCGCUCUUUUCUUCCUCCAGAUUGGUUCGGAGGCACAGCCCAGCUGCUGCCUUGGCUUUUGCUCAAAUUAUCAUCAACGGACAUGUCCUUUCUUUGCACUGUUUGAGACAGAUACGACACUGGCCUCCAAAUUGUUCAGGGAACAUCUUUUGUGCUUUUUGUCUGUCCUUCUGUUCAUUCCGGGGUGUCCUAGGGCUGGGUCCUAGGACAACUGCUCACUUGAGAGAGAGAGCGGGACUGACCCUAUAUGCUUUCUAAGUGCAAUGUCCGUGACCAGGCCUCAGGGUCUUUCCAACGCCUCCCAGACCCUCAGGGGACACGCUGAGGCAGUGGCACUGACACGUGGCCAACUUCUGUUGUCUGCUGGGGUGCUUGUGAGCUUUGGCUCAGGGAAAAUAAGCUUGUUCUGGGUUGCAGGGCAAAGCUGGCUGUGGGGGAGGGCUCUGGCCAGCUGGUCUGCGUGUCCUGGCUGGUGCUUACAUCAAGCUUUCAUUUCCUCUGGAAACCCCACGCACUUGACCUCUGAGCCUACUGCAAUAUGUGUGUAUCCUAAUUUCCCUGGAGGCUUUGGUUCCAGCAUUUUCCGAGCAGUGGGUCAACUUCAGUAAGAGCACACACAAAGUUAGAGCUUUCGGCCAGGGAGAGCAAAGUUUACAAUUCUGACAAGGCUAACACGCAGAAACACAGAACACUGAGCCCAGGUGAGUGAGUUAGAAAAUACAGGCCCUCAUCCAGACUUGGCAACGUGGGAGAGUUGAGUGGCAUCAUGGGUUCUAAUCCCAGGUCUGCCUAUAGCCUGAAGACCUUGGCAGACCCUGGGCUGUGGCUUCCUGAGCUUAGGGACCUCUGAGUUCUGUUGUGUCACUUCCUAGAUGCCCAGCUCUGUGCGAGCCUGUUAGAGACACAGAGGAAAAGAGGGGCGCCCUGCCGUGGGCAUGUGGAGACAAGACCCACACAGCAGAUGCGAUGCAAGGGUGGACUAAGGAAGCCAUGACUGGGGUGAGUAAACACUGUAGGACUCAAAGGGUGCAAGUAGGCAUUUGAGGCGGACUUUCAGAGGAGUAGGAAGGGGGCCUUGGAGGCAGGGGAGAUGGCGGAGGCAAAGGCACCUUGGGGGAGGGGUGUGGUUCAUGCUGGGGCCGUAGGAGACACUACAGAUGUCCCACCCAGAUCCCCGUCACCAGCAGGCGCACCGUUCCCCAGCAGCUGUAAAUGUUCAUUGCUUCCAGCCCACAGCUAUACACUUCUCUGGAGCAUUGCCUUUGGCUGACAUGAGUCACCUGGUCAUUACACCCCCCAGGGAGUGACCUGCAGCCAAUGACUGUGUGACACGGGCUUACAAACGCCCAUCCCCUUGUGUCAAGGUGGAACAGCUCUGUGAUGCUAUUCACACUCCAGAGCUCCCAUGAGAUCAGGCUGAGGUCAGACUUGAGCUGAAAACAGCUCUGUCGGGUUUCUUCACCUGCCCUAUCCUGUUUUCAUCCUGAGAGUUGUCCCUCAGUAUAUCAUUUGCCCACAAAAAAACUCUAUCUCAGAUUCUGCCUCAGAGGAACCCUACCCAACUAGGGCCAGCAUAAGGCAGAGUUAAGAGGACCUUGGAUGCUAGAACUUGGCGUUGUGGGCAGACCAGACAGCAGGAAACCUGGCUCCUUCAACCUGUUCCGAUCUGUGUUGCUUACUUUUCAACUUCAGCAAGUCAAAGGGGCCCACUCCCCUUUUUCCAGCAUGGGGCUUCUGGGUUCUAGCUCCACUCAGAAGAAUUCCCAAUGGAUUGGCUCAUGGGGCUGGUGGUGUUUGGAUUCAGGUGAAGAACCGUGGCAGGUGUGAAUCCUGCUGCCAGAAACUCCUCUGUUGGGGGAUGGUCCGUCUGUCUAAUCCCAGCCUAAGGGGGCGUGUCGGCCUCCUUGUUGGUGAAGGCGCUUAAAGGGACAGAGAUGGUGGGAUGGCUCUUUCCUCAUGUGAGCAGCCCCUCAAGAGGCAUAUGAAGAGGAAGGGCUGACGGGAAGGAAAGGCCAUCUCCCCCUUGCACAUCCGCCUCUCUCUCUAAGCCAUCUUCCUCCUCUCUCCAUCUGAUCCAAGUAUCACCCACCAACUCGACAGAUACUGACUGAAUAUCCACCACGGGCCAGGCCCUGUUCGAGACACUGGGACAUGGCAUCAUCACCAUGGUGAAGCCCCGCUCUCAGAGAGUUCACAUUCUGGUCAGUAUAAGAAAAAGAAAGAAAGAGAAGUAAGUCUAUCGAACAGAAAUAGUAUUAAAUACAGUCAUGCGGCGCAUAACGACUUUUCGGUCAAUGACGGACCACACACACAAUGGUGGUCCAUAAGAUUAGUACCGUCCAGCCUAGGUGUGUAGCGGACUAGGCCAUCUAGGUUUGUGUAAGUACACUCUAGGAUGUUCUCACAAUGACGAAAUUGCCCAACAACCCGUUUCUUAGAACAUGUCCCUCUUAAGCGAAGUGUAAGUGUACUAUCAAAAAAAAAAGUAAUGGCUUAGAGAGAAACUGAGUCUUAGGGGGAUGGGCCACUUUGGGAAGGGGUCAGGGAAGGCUGGCACUUGAGCUGAGCUGUCUGUGCUGAGAAGAGGCCAUUCCAGCAAAGAUUUGAGGGGAGAACAUCCAGGCAGAGGGAAGAGCAAAUACACAAGUCCUGUAGCGUGUUAAACAUGCCGAACCAGGAGCACCAGAGAGAUCUCUGGGGAAUCCUGUGGGACUGUCUUCCCCUUCCUCUGGUUUCUUGUAGGGAUGACAACAGAAGCAGGAAAUCGUAUAUAUCUGCAUAGUUUAUACACAUUUACUUUGAGUGUCAUUUUGACAGAGCAGAGUUCUGUGCCGGGGUAGCAUCUCCUCUUCUACACCAUAAGUGAGGUUUUCAAGAGUCACCCAAAGCUUUCAGAAGGACAGAGAGCAGCCUUGUGUUCUCUUCUUAGUGCCUCAUGGAGCCAGAUGUGCUGGUCACUCUCUGUACCGACUGCUGACUGCCACGUGGCGGGGAUGGGCAUGAUGAAACGUCCUGUCUGGGUGCAAAGGCUUCAACUUACUUCUCUCUGGACACAGAAACAUAUUGAAAACUUACAAAUCAAAACAGUUCUUUCAGCAAGCCGCCACAGGCAACACGAAGAGAGGCCCAGCCCCACAUCAGAGAGAUGCUUGUCCCUCUGUCCUCUGCACCAGCGCCACUCUGGCACGCAGGAGAGGAAGGCUGGUGAGGGACCAGGAUGCGAGAGGAGGCUGGAAGGCAUGCCACGUGGGACAAAGGCAAAGGAAGCUGAGGCUCAGCCUGAAGAGGAUGGACAGAGUGGCAUUCGGCGGGCGACACGACGGGGGGCACUCAGAUGGCGUGGGUGUGACUCUCCUGGGUUCGGGGGAUGGGCAGGGUCACUUCACUCUAAGAAGGAACAGCCCAGUUCUGCUGCAGCCCACCAGAGGACUGGGCUACCUCGGGUGGCAAGACCCCCACCCAACCCAUGCUGAGCUCCUGAUUCUCCUGGUCCAAGGGGGCAGUCCAGGAGAGCCGGCGAGGGUCACCAGCCUGGUCCUGGAUCUGGACGAGGCCUGCACGCGGGACAGGAUGGACUAGAAGCAGACAACCUGGCCAAAUCCUCCCUUUGCACAGACCUGAGGGGUAGGACAUGCUCCCUUAGGACCUCUGGUUUCCCAUGAAAGUAAAUCUCAACAAGAGGCGGGUGUAGGCAGCAGGGUCCAUCCCUGCCACUGUUCUUUACCUGAACCAAAACAUCUCCAACAUUGAGAAUCCUGGGCACCAUGAUUCCUAGGGUCACUUUAACUCUAAACAAUGUCUGAUUCUACGAAACUGGGGCUUCAAGGUCAUCUUGGAGUGCUAAGGGUGGUACAGGGAUCAGAGAUGCUAAGCUAUGGUUGGCGGUUUGGGGGUGGGGGCAGUGGUUGCAAAAUCUAGGGUGUAUGAAUCAUCAUAAUAUUGGGGGGCACUUGACUAUAAGUCAAAUUACACAGAGUCUACACACCCGUGGAUCCUCACAGUGAUACCGUGAAGUGACUGGAGCAAGUAUGACAUCAUGCAGGUGCCCAGAAAGGGGAUAAGAUGGGCCUCCACUUCCUGUGGCCCCACCCUGCUCUGGACCUUCAGGGCCUUUUAGGUGCCGGAGCGAAGUGGGAGCUGCGACCCUCCCAAAGGACUCCCUCCACACCCACAGCCCACGCUGGAGGCAGACCAAUUCAUUGAAAACCAAAUCCCCAGAAAUCAAUUUACAGAUUGAUUUGCAAAUUGAAUUGACUUAUUACCCAUCCCCCCACCCAUCCACUCAUCUUAUCAACAUUUACAUAACUUCCACUUCAUGGCAAAAUCAAUUCCACAAAUUCCCCCUAGAGCUCCCAAACUGAAAAUGAUCUCUCCCCCUCUGAAUUUCAAGCCCGUCUUUCAGAAAGUAUUUUUUGUUGCUUUGCUUGUCUGUUUAAAAAAUGAUACCUUGAUGUAUCAUUAAAGGUGUGUCCCAGCCAUUCCUCUACUUCCGUCCUCACCUCCUCCUCGAACUUGCAACCAGUAGAGUUUCGACAAGAGACACUGAUUUACUAAAGCAGAUGCGUUGACCACUGCUCAGAAAACAAGACCCAUGCCUCUUUUUAUGAUGCUUUUCGCUCUCAGAGCUUCUGCUCUCAUCUCCGCCAAAAGAAGUAAGAACACCGUAUCGACUCUUUUCCUCAACAGCAUAGAGUAUGGUAUUCGCUAUGAAGCAGAAGUUAAGUAAAUAUUGAUAAGAUGAGUGGGUGGGUGAUAAAUGGUUUUCUGUCUUUUGCAUGAAGAAAUGGCCCUUCAAGGGCCACCAUUAGCCAAGCAUGCGAUUCUUCCUCAGCCCUAGCACGGGUUGUGAGCAUAGAAUGUUUGCUCCCACCCAUCCUUCCUCAGGGACAGAAUAGGGGUGCCCAGCUGCCAGAGAGCCCUGUCUCGUGAAGGUGACGCUCUAGAAACCCCUUUUUUCCUGCAGAGUGUGGGUUAGUAUGAAUUUGGCUCCCAUAGAUCUCGUUCUCAAGAGCAUUUGCCUCCAAAGCUUGACCUCUGAGCCUGGAGCAAAGGGCUUUGUUGUCAAGUAGGAGCUUUUCCCCAAGGAUAACCUUGGCGAGGAGGGUCCUGAGCAGUGGUGACUGAAAUGAAGUGAUUUCUCUGGAGGACAGAGUACAAAAUCCAGAAUUAGCCCCCAUUGCCUAAAGAAAGCUUGUGUGAUGAUAAAGGCAGCAUCGCAAAUCAUGGAGAAAGAAUGUAUGAUUUGAUAGUUGGUGUUAGGAUAACGGGAGAGCCCUGUGGUAUUAGAGGCAAUUGGAGGCGUUUUGCUCAUACACUAGGAUACAUUCCAAAGAGAUUGGAGAUUUAAGUUUAAAAAUGAAACCAUCCAAGUACUAAAAGGAAACAGGCAAAUUCUUCUUUUUUGAAGAAGAAGAUUAGC
This is a non-coding RNA of Equus caballus (horse), 7943 nucleotides long. Lineage: Eukaryota; Metazoa; Chordata; Mammalia; Perissodactyla; Equidae. The record is from RefSeq and is a predicted model, not a curated record.